Molecule: ribosomal RNA, 497 nt
Filed under: uncultured bacterium
Lineage: Bacteria
Description: partial 16S ribosomal RNA
Rfam family: Bacterial small subunit ribosomal RNA
Source: RNAcentral
GAUGAACGCUGGCGGCGUGCCUAAUACAUGCAAGUCGAGCGAACAGACGAGGAGCUUGCUCCUCUGACGUUAGCGGCGGACGGGGGAGUAACACGUGGAUAACCUACCUAUAAGACUGGGAUAACUUCGGGAAACCGGAGCUAAUACCGGAUAAUAUAUUGAAUCGCAUGGUUCAAUAGUGAAAGACGGUUUUGAUGUCACUUAUAGAUGGAUCCGCGCCGCAUUAGCUAGUUGGUAAGGUAACGGCUUACCAAGGCAACGAUGCGUAGCCGACCUGAGAGGGUGAUCGGCCACACUGGAGCUGGGACACGGUCCAGACUCCUACGAGAGGCAGCAGUAGGGAAUCUUCCGCAAUGGGCGAAAGCCUGACGGAGCAACGCCGCGUGAGUGAUGAAGGUCUUCGGAUCGUAAAACUCUGUUAUUAGGGAAGAACAAAUGUGUAAGUAACUAUGCACGUCUUGACGGUACCUAAUCAGAAAGCCACGGCUAACUACGUG